Molecule: ribosomal RNA, 605 nt
Filed under: uncultured marine bacterium
Lineage: Bacteria
Description: bacterial SSU rRNA
Rfam family: Bacterial small subunit ribosomal RNA
Source: RNAcentral
AGUACGGUCGCAAGAUUAAAACUCAAAGGAAUUGACGGGGGCCCGCACAAGCGGUGGAGCAUGUGGUUUAAUUCGACGCAACGCGCAGAACCUUACCAACCCUUGACAUACUUGUCGCGGAUUCCAGAGAUGGAUUCCUUCAGUUCGGCUGGACAAUGUACAGGUGCUGCAUGGCUGCCGUCAGCUCGUGUCGUGAGAUGUUCGGUUAAGUCUGGCAACGAGCGCAACCCACGUCCUUAGUUACCAGCAUUUAGUUGGGUACCCUAAGGAGACUGCCGGUGAUAAGCCGGAGGAAGGUGUGGACGACGUCAAGUCAUCAUGGCCCUUACGGGUUGGGCUACACACGUGCUACAAUGGCAUCUACAGUGAGUUAAUCUCCAAAAGAUGUCUCAGUUCGGAUUGGGGUCUGCAACUCGACCCCAUGAAGUUGGAAUCGCUAGUAAUCGCGGAACAGCAUGCCGCGGUGAAUACGUUCCCGGGCCUUGUACACACCGCCCGUCACACCAUGGGAAUUGGGUCUACCCGAAGGUGGUGCGCCAACUAUUUAUAGAGGCAGCCAACCACGGUAGGUUCAGUGACUGGGGUGAAGUCGUAACAAGGUAACC